This 503-nucleotide ribosomal RNA is filed under the name uncultured bacterium. RNAcentral's name for it is "partial 16S ribosomal RNA". It matches the Rfam family "Bacterial small subunit ribosomal RNA", at positions 30 to 523 of the family's 1533-position model. The record is from RNAcentral.
AUUGAACGCUGGCGGCAGGCUUAACACAUGCAAGUCGAGCGGGGUGAUGGUGCUUGCACUAUCACUUAGCGGCGGACGGGUGAGUAAUGCUUAGGAAUCUGCCUAUUAGUGGGGGACAACAUCUCGAAAGGGAUGCUAAUACCGCAUACGUCCUACGGGAGAAAGCAGGGGAUCACUUGUGACCUUGUGCUAAUAGAUGAGCCUAAGUCGGAUUAGCUAGUUGGUGGGGUAAAGGCCUACCAAGGCGACGAUCUGUAGCGGGUCUGAGAGGAUGGACCGCCACACUGGGACUGGGACACGGCCCAGACUCCUACGGUAGGAAGCAGUGGGGAAUAUUGGACAAUGGGGGGAACCCUGAUCCAGCCAUGCCGCGUGUGUGAAGAAGGCCUUAUGGUUGUAAAGCACUUUAAGCGAGGAGGAGGCUUACCUAGUUAAUACCUGGGAUAAGUGGACGUUACUCGCAGAAUAAGCACCGGCUAACUCUGUGCCAGCCGCCGCGGUAA